Molecule: non-coding RNA, 93 nt
Organism: Mycena rebaudengoi
Lineage: Eukaryota; Fungi; Basidiomycota; Agaricomycetes; Agaricales; Mycenaceae
Source: the annotation of a GenBank genome assembly
UCGGAUAUAGUGCAAAGGAUAGCGCGGUUCUCGUGAUCGUUCGUCGGGAAUCCGGACGGAGAGCAGAUCGGGGUUCAAUUCCCCGUUUCCGUA